Molecule: ribosomal RNA, 1534 nt
Filed under: Klebsiella pneumoniae
Lineage: Bacteria; Pseudomonadati; Pseudomonadota; Gammaproteobacteria; Enterobacterales; Enterobacteriaceae
Description: bacterial SSU rRNA
Rfam family: Bacterial small subunit ribosomal RNA
Source: RNAcentral
UUGAAGAGUUUGAUCAUGGCUCAGAUUGAACGCUGGCGGCAGGCCUAACACAUGCAAGUCGAGCGGUAGCACAGAGAGCUUGCUCUCGGGUGACGAGCGGCGGACGGGUGAGUAAUGUCUGGGAAACUGCCUGAUGGAGGGGGAUAACUACUGGAAACGGUAGCUAAUACCGCAUAACGUCGCAAGACCAAAGUGGGGGACCUUCGGGCCUCAUGCCAUCAGAUGUGCCCAGAUGGGAUUAGCUAGUAGGUGGGGUAACGGCUCACCUAGGCGACGAUCCCUAGCUGGUCUGAGAGGAUGACCAGCCACACUGGAACUGAGACACGGUCCAGACUCCUACGGGAGGCAGCAGUGGGGAAUAUUGCACAAUGGGCGCAAGCCUGAUGCAGCCAUGCCGCGUGUGUGAAGAAGGCCUUCGGGUUGUAAAGCACUUUCAGCGGGGAGGAAGGCGAUAAGGUUAAUAACCUUGUCGAUUGACGUUACCCGCAGAAGAAGCACCGGCUAACUCCGUGCCAGCAGCCGCGGUAAUACGGAGGGUGCAAGCGUUAAUCGGAAUUACUGGGCGUAAAGCGCACGCAGGCGGUCUGUCAAGUCGGAUGUGAAAUCCCCGGCUCAACCGGGAACUGCAUUCGAAACUGGCAGGCUAGAGUCUUGUAGAGGGGGGUAGAAUUCCAGGUGUAGCGGUGAAAUGCGUAGAGAUCUGGAGGAAUACCGGUGGCGAAGGCGGCCCCCUGGACAAAGACUGACGCUCAGGUGCGAAAGCGUGGGGAGCAAACAGGAUUAGAUACCCUGGUAGUCCACGCCGUAAACGAUGUCGAUUUGGAGGUUGUGCCCUUGAGGCGUGGCUUCCGGAGCUAACGCGUUAAAUCGACCGCCUGGGGAGUACGGCCGCAAGGUUAAAACUCAAAUGAAUUGACGGGGGCCCGCACAAGCGGUGGAGCAUGUGGUUUAAUUCGAUGCAACGCGAAGAACCUUACCUGGUCUUGACAUCCACAGAACUUUCCAGAGAUGGAUUGGUGCCUUCGGGAACUGUGAGACAGGUGCUGCAUGGCUGUCGUCAGCUCGUGUUGUGAAAUGUUGGGUUAAGUCCCGCAACGAGCGCAACCCUUAUCCUUUGUUGCCAGCGGUCCGGCCGGGAACUCAAAGGAGACUGCCAGUGAUAAACUGGAGGAAGGUGGGGAUGACGUCAAGUCAUCAUGGCCCUUACGACCAGGGCUACACACGUGCUACAAUGGCAUAUACAAAGAGAAGCGACCUCGCGAGAGCAAGCGGACCUCAUAAAGUAUGUCGUAGUCCGGAUUGGAGUCUGCAACUCGACUCCAUGAAGUCGGAAUCGCUAGUAAUCGUAGAUCAGAAUGCUACGGUGAAUACGUUCCCGGGCCUUGUACACACCGCCCGUCACACCAUGGGAGUGGGUUGCAAAAGAAGUAGGUAGCUUAACCUUCGGGAGGGCGCUUACCACUUUGUGAUUCAUGACUGGGGUGAAGUCGUAACAAGGUAACCGUAGGGGAACCUGCGGUUGGAUCACCUCCUU